This 5268-nucleotide long non-coding RNA is filed under the name Equus caballus (horse). RNAcentral describes it as "lncRNA (ENSECAG00000046995.1)". Lineage: Eukaryota; Metazoa; Chordata; Mammalia; Perissodactyla; Equidae. The record is from RNAcentral.
GUCUCUUUCCAGGAUGGGUUAAACAUAAAAAGGAUGAGAGAAUCUUAACGACAUGAGACAAGACUCUCCUCCAGUGAAGUAUAAAUAGGAGCGUGGACUUCCUGCUGCCCCUCAGCACCCACCCACUUACCGGACAUUCAUCCACUAAAUUGUUACCAAACAUCAAGGGAGCGGGCAAGGCAUUCCUGUCAUAGGCAAGGGAGGUCCUCCCACGACCCUGGGGCUUUAGAUCGUGAAAAAGAAUUCUAAGUCCCGAAGCCAAGUGGAUUUUACCUUUUGAACAGACUUUAAUUUGUGGAGAUUAUCUUUUUAAUUUAAAUUUAAUUACUGGGUAGUGGUUUUACCAGCUGUGUUGAGGUUGGUCGCUUUUUGUGGUUACUACAGAUGCUGAUGAAGGCCAAGGGUUCAAAUACUGAGCCUUCCUUAGCACCCAGAAGGUGAGGGUCGCAAGAACUGUCACUUCAAUCCCAAAUAAUCCUACUCCUGUUGAGCCUUUUUGCUCUGCUCGGGCCUUUCCCAGGGGAUGAAAUCAGAAAACAAUUCAUUUACAGUGCUUUUUUUAAAAAGUUUUUUUUUUUGCUUUCUUCAAAGUUAUACUUGUACAUGAUUUAGAGUUAAAUGUUCCAACAAGACUUCCCAUUCCCUCAAGGCAACCACUUUCAACUUUUAGCUGAUUCUUCGGUAUUUACUAUCACAGAUCUAAAUGACACGUUCACAUUUCUACUUCUCGGCUUUUCAGUUAGCCAUUAUCUGUUGAUUUCCCAGUAUGGAAGAUAAGGAUUUAGCUUUCUUUUGCACACUCCUCUGCACUUGCACCACAUAUCUACACUUUCAGUCCUUAAAUCUGCUACAGUUAUAACUUGCUCAUCCUGCCCAAUCAGCAGGAUGUCAUUGAUGUAACAGAUUAAUGUGAUGUUCUGCAGGAUGUCCAGAAGGUCCAGAUCUCUUCAGGCUAUUUUAUGACAGAGGGAAGGAAUGUUAACAUAGCCCUGGGCCAUACAGUAAUUGUGUACUUUCGUGUUUCAUGGAAUACCAGUUGUUUCUGAUCCUUUCUUAUGACUGGAAUAGAAAAGAAUGCAUUCACUAAAUCAACGAAGUAUGCCAAAUACCUGAGGCUGUAUUAAUCUGCUCUAGCAAAUAUGCCGCAUCUGGCGCAGCAGCUGCUAUCCGGCCUAACUGGUAAGUUUGCAGUAAUCUACUGCCAUCCUUCAGGGCCCAUCUAGUUUUUGCAGGGCCACAUGGUGAGUUAAAUGAAGCUAUGAUGGGAAUUAGUACCUCUGUAUCCUUUAAAUUCAUGAGUGGCACUAAUUUCUGCCACCCCUCCUGAGAUACAAUGUUGCUUUGAUUUCCUGUGCCAUGUUUGGCUAGGGAGGGGAGACAAUUUCAGAGGCUUCCACUUGGCCUUCCGCACUAUGAUAGCUUUUACUCCACAGGCAAAGGUCCCAAAGAGUUUGUACCAACUGCCAAAUAGGUCAAUCUCAUUAUACAUUUGGGGACUGGGGAAAUGAUCACUGGGUGGGGCCACAGACCCAAUGGACCCACUCUGAGCUGGACCUUGCCAUGACCCUAUUUAUUAACUGGCCUCUCUAUGCUGCCUUUCUAACAGAGGGCCACAAUGAUGCUUCUGGUUUCUGGGUUUCAAUGUUAAUUCAACAGUCCUUGAAAUGUCUCGGUAUUCCCACUUCUCCAAAGUACAAUUACCCCAGUAAAUGACCAAAGAUACUUUGGGGAUGGACUAGGGAAAUCAUUCCCAUUUAUACUUGUUGAAGUGUAGUAGGGUCCUUCCUCCUGAGGACCUCUUCAGUCAGUGGGUUCCAGGUCUUUAAGCUGGCUCAGGUGUGGAAACUGAUUAAGGAAUUGUGACUUUAUUGGGUGAGAGCCCUUAGCCUCUUGGUCCUUUAUCCUUGAUUUUUUUCUGCUGAUACAAACUAAUAGGACCUUUGUUGGCUGCCUAUCUAUUUUGCCCCUAAGAACACCAAGUUCUAUUAACCACUUCCAUAACUGUGUGGGUUAGGUCCACACUAUAAUUUGUAACCCCCUGGCUUCUCAUAGUUGAGCACAGCCACCUGGCCUCUAUCGUUCUGGGGUCCUGUCAUCCCCAUUACUAUCAGCAAGUCAACCGCCACCUUCAGCCAUGACUUGCAGAGAGCCACCACUGAACUUUUUAGUGAUGCUCACGCCCUUUGCACCAACGCCUUCCUUAGGGCCUUGGUAAUAGUGCAUCCUCCCUCUGGGCCAUCCUUUAGAACAUAACCGUCAUAAUCUUCGAGCUGUGCAUAGUACCUCCGUUCCAUAUGCCCACUUCCCUGAGCCUUUUUAUCCCUUCCUGUCCCACCUGCCUGUCCUUGUACUUCUAGCAUUUCCAUUUCAUUCAGCAAGGGUCACUGUUUUUUUUCAUGCUUCUAGGAGCCAUGAUAGUAGUGAGUUCACACCAACUGUUGGGGUCCUUGCCAGGAUGUUAAAUCCUGUAUUUCGGGAGUGCUCCCACAUCAAUAGAAUUUUCCUAUCCAAUUUUAUGCUCUGGCCUCCUUGAUUAAGCACCCUCUGAAUCCAGUCCCAUGCAUGCUCUCCAAGCUCCUGGUGGUACAUGCUGGCUAGGUCUUGCAUCUUCUUUGGGGAAUAGUCCUUUACCUCCAUCAUCAGGCACAACACCUCCCAACUAGGUUAUGCUAUGACUUAACCCUAAUUAUAGGCCUAGUGGCCAGAAGCCUAGUUGAGGGGGUGGUGGCUGCUAGAGAAGAGGAGAACACGGUGCCUUUCAGUUAGAAGCCUCUACCCAAUCUUCAAGCAAGCAAAAGUGAUAGCUCUUAGUAGGGAGGAGUGAGCCACACUGGAGGCAUCAAAGGAGCCUGAGGAAUCAAAAUCUUCAGGAGCACCACCCAGAUGUCCUCGCCAUGUCUCAGAAUGCUAAGUUUCCUCAACCAUGGCCCUGACCUUGGCACGACAACCUGCCUUUUGGGGCAUUUAACCAUCUUUUAACCACUCUCAAGUUCUGGUCUUGGUGCUCAGCAUUCUGCUUUUCCCUGCUGAUGAGAACUUUGUGUGCAACAGAGGUGCUCUGGCUUUCACAUCUGACUUGCAAUUGCUGAUUACCCACGCUCAGCUGUUCAUUAUUCUUCUGUAACCAAUGGAGCUUGGCAAUAGCCAUCCAAUUCUGUUAUCCUUAUUGCUGUUACUUCCACCCUGUGUCUUGAAUGCCUGAUCCAUCACACCUCUACUGUUCCCUUCCACCUGGUACACCAUCCCAACUGGACCAUCACCAUGUGCCAGAGGCUGGCUGUGCCUCACCUACAACCAGCCAGGUGGUCCAUACUCCAGCUUCCAGCUUAUUGCCUGCUUUCUACCAGUUGUCACAGGUGGGGUUCUCAGGAAGCAGACACUGGGACAGAGCAUAUAAGAUGUGAAAGGAAAGGAGAGGAGGCAGGACUGGACAGAGAGAGAAGUCAAACUCCAAUAUAGGUCCAACAAAGCUUUGCCCAGCCUGCCCAGGAGCUCUGGAGUGAACACAGCAUAUUGGAAGUGCCGGGAGGUGGGCCAUAAUGGCUGAGCCUUUAUAUUCAGCCUGCCCAGGAGCUCUGGAGUGAACACAGCAUAUUGGAGGUGCCCGGAGGUGGGCCAUAAUGGCUGAGCCUUUACAUCCAGCCUUGCUCAAUCACCCAGUGUAGGCUGCCCUGGAAGGGGCAUGACCUUGGGCAAGGCUAUUCUCUGCAGCUGAAGCAGACCCCGACGGAGCUGACAACUGGAGGUUGAUAUUACGACUCCUAAUUGGACAUAUGGGCACCCAGAAUAAAAUUGUUAAGUGACUACGUUCUGACCCAUUGGUUAUAAGCAAGAAUGGUGUGUACAAAUUCCAGGAAGUAUCCUUAAAGGAAAGAUUAUCUUCUCCCUUUCCUCUUUCCUGCUUAUUAGAAUGUAGACAUGAUGGCCAGAACGUAAGCAGCCAUACUGGACCAUAAUGUAGAAGCCACUUGUUGAGAAGAGAGGUAAGUAGGUCCCUGACGGUCAUGGAAUCACUAUACUAAUCUAGACUGCCUAGCUCUGCACUGUUUAUGUGCUGAAGAAAUCAAUGUUCAUGUUGGCUAAGAACACACAAAAAAAUUCUGCUUCUUAUAAAUUAACCUAUUCCUAUCUGAUGCAGAAUUUGAUCCCUGUAAAUUCAUGCUGCAUAUAACAUAACCUUAAAAGAAAUGUGGUAUUGGCUUAGUGGAAACAUUUGGGCAGUGGGUGGUAAAGACUCAGAUAUCGCAAGAUGGAAAACUGAUGACCCUUGUUGCCCAGUUGCAAAAUAUUCGUAGCAUGAAGGAAAAUAAUUGGAAAAAUUUAUAAACUUGGUAUUUGCUGGCUUUUCCUUGCCACUUUCAGCAAAGUUCUCUGAGAGAUGAACUCAGGCCAGGGCUAGCCAAUCUGCAAGUAGAGAUGGAAAGGAAUACAGCUUUGCUAAGAGGAACUCUGUCUGUGAUGUAAGUGGAUUAAGAAUCCCAUAAUUUGGAGCCUUAGGUGGCUGAAAAAAAUCCAACUACUUCUAUACCCCUAAAUCAAAGCAUGUAGAAACAGUGCCUGUGAACAAAAGCCUUGGAAGGAAAUAUGCCUGACAUGCAGCCAUGCAAGGCUGACAAAUAUGGCUUAAGAAUGCUGUCAGUCUGUUAAAUCCCAAUGUUCAGAUGCCCCCAAGUUAGCUGUCAUUAAGAGAGAGGUGGCUGUGCAGCACACAGAAGCCAGGAAAUAAAAGAUAAAGUCUUUGGGCUUAAACACUGUAUCUAGGCAAGAAUUACGGCCCUAACUUCUCCCUCACAGAACUGACUAAAAGCAAAAGGAUCAGAAAUCUUUUGAAUUUCUGCACGAAUUACAUUGCCAGAGAUACAGGAAGACUGAUAUGCAUCCAUGGGCUUCUCCCGUCACUGCUGACAAGCACAGCUGUGGAGGUGUUUGGUACUUCUGAAGCAGCGUUAGGAGUCUCAGCAUCCAGCCACCAGCUCUGUGGGCCCUGACAGGCAGGACGCAGGACACAGGACACAUGCUGUCCCGGUACAGACUGCAGUGGGUGCGGCGUGCAGCUUUCUGAGGGGCAUGAUUUCCUAGGCAUUGCAGGAGCAACGCAGCUCAGAAGUCAUCAUUUCCUGAUUGCAGAAGGGUCACUGCUCCCUUGGUGGCCUCAUUCUGUGAAGACUGGGACUUAUUUCUGAAAAUCAAAUCCUAGUCUGUUUAAUCGACACUCUUAAGUAUUCAGUACUCUCUGUGCUUAUACCAAGGGAAUAGAUUCUAUUCUCU